RNAcentral lists this ribosomal RNA (393 nucleotides) under uncultured bacterium. RNAcentral's name for it is "partial 16S ribosomal RNA". It matches the Rfam family "Bacterial small subunit ribosomal RNA", at positions 523 to 918 of the family's 1533-position model. The record is from RNAcentral.
AUACGGAGGAUCCGAGCGUUAUCCGGAUUUAUUGGGUUUAAAGGGAGCGUAGGCGGACGCUUAAGUCAGUUGUGAAAGUUUGCGGCUCAACCGUAAAAUUGCAGUUGAUACUGGGUGUCUUGAGUACAGUAGAGGCAGGGGGAAUUCGUGGUGUAGCGGUGAAAUGGUUAGAAAUCACGAAGAACUCCGAUUUCGAAGGCAGCCCGCCGGACUGUAACUGACGCUGAUGCUCGAAAGUGUGGGUAUCAAACAUGAUUAGAUACCCUGGUAGUCCACACAGUAAACGAUGAAUACUCGCUGUUUGCGAUAUACAGUAAGCGGCCAAGCGAAAGCGUUAAGUAUUCCACCUGGGGAGUACGCCGGCAACGGUGAAACUCAAAGGAAUUGACGGGG